UACAGAGGUCUCAAGCGUUGUUCGGAUUCAUUGGGCGUAAAGGGCGCGUAGGCUGCGGGGCAAGUCGGGUGUGAAAUCCCGGGGCUCAACCUCGGAACUGCCUUUGAUACUGCAAAUCUCGAGUCCGGAAGAGGUGAGUGGAAUUCCUAGUGUAGAGGUGAAAUUCGUAGAUAUUAGGAAGAACACCAGUGGCGAAGGCGGCUCACUGGUCCGGUACUGACGCUGAGGUGCGAAAGCGUGGGGAGCAAACAGG
Molecule: ribosomal RNA, 253 nt
Filed under: uncultured bacterium
Lineage: Bacteria
Description: partial 16S ribosomal RNA
Rfam family: Bacterial small subunit ribosomal RNA
Source: RNAcentral